AUAUAUAUACUCACACUUGCUCAAAAGCAUGCAAGUUGAAACCAAAACAAAAUGAGAGAUCAAAAUAUAACUUUUGUCGCCAUUCUUUCUCUCUUCCUAAUAUUGUUGCGUGCAAAUGGAGAGGUGCCGACACAAAACGAAUUAUGUGACCCUGAAAAAUGCAACAAGGCAUGUAUGGAUUUAAUUAAGUACAGGGGAUAUUGUGCUCCUAAUGGAUCUUGUCAAUGUAUCCCAAGAUCUGUACCUCCAAGAUCACCUAAGUCGAAUCAUCUAUCAUAGUUUUAUCUUAAUAUGAAAUUUAUCUCUAUCAUAGUUUUAGCUUAAUAUGAAAUUUAUGCUGAAAAAUAAAUUAAGGUGAUCAUGUACUCAUUAUCGAUCUUAAAGAAUUAAUAAAUGUUUUCUUUUAAAAAUA
This is a long non-coding RNA of Lathyrus oleraceus (garden pea), 412 nucleotides long. RefSeq lists it as uncharacterized. The transcript is spliced from 2 exons. Lineage: Eukaryota; Viridiplantae; Streptophyta; Magnoliopsida; Fabales; Fabaceae. The record is from RefSeq and is a predicted model, not a curated record.